CUUCACCUCCCAUUGUCUCUGUCUCUCUCUUUCUCCUCUGCUUCCCCUCACCCCACAACCAAAGUCAAGAGCGCAGACCCCAUGAUCACCUGAUACUUCCAAGCAAGCAGGUGUUCUUUUCAGAAGCCAGAAGCUGAUAACCUGGGCUUUCUGAUCUAACCCCAGCCCAAAUUCAUUGCAAUGGAGGAAUUGGGGAGGAGAUUCUUCCUACUGAGAAGUGGGUGCCAACUCUCCCUUUCAAAUUUGUUCAUCAACAAACUAAAGGGGAUGCCAGAAAUGUCUGGAGCAAUGGAAGAACCACUGGAAUAAUGCUCCUGCCUGAUUGUAUCUACUUAACCCACUCUCCAAGAGCCAGAAUCAGAUUUCAACCGUAUGGAAUCAUCUACAAUGCAGCAGAUGGGUUUACAAGUCUCUUGGUCUCUUCAUGAAGAAGGCGCAGCAAUCGUGUCCCAAGUCCUUGAGGACUUCACAGGGUGUUCUAGUGUCCUGAGAAUAUACCUGCCUAAGGCACUGUGGUGGGAUUCUGCCAUUCGAGAAUCUCAGACUAAGAUCAUCUGUUUCAACAAGCAUCGAUCAAGCACCCACAUUGCAGCUGGCACUCUGCUUGAUGGUGAGAUGAGUGUCAAGACCAGUUCCUUAUUUUACAGGGAAGGCCAUCAAGGUUGAAAGUGGAAAUUUCCCAAGGUCAGAGACAGAGUGGUAGAGCCAGUCCAUGCAUUCUGGUCUCCUGUCUCCUGUUCCAGUGCUCAUUCGUGACACUGCUGCUCUCCCUAACACUUCAUCCCACGAGAAUACUCUUGAGAAUAUUGUUCUUGGCUGUUCCAAAUAGAAAGAUCAUCUGUCCAUU
This 847-nucleotide long non-coding RNA is filed under the name Homo sapiens (human). RNAcentral's name for it is "PREDICTED lncRNA (TCONS_00059533)". Lineage: Eukaryota; Metazoa; Chordata; Mammalia; Primates; Hominidae. The record is from RNAcentral.